This 103-nucleotide ribosomal RNA is filed under the name uncultured bacterium. Its description in RNAcentral is "partial 16S ribosomal RNA". The record is from RNAcentral.
GAGCAAUCUGCCCUUCUCAUCGGAAAUAAGCGUUGGAAACGACGUCUAAUGCCGAAUACGACCUCCUUUCGCAUGAUCGGAGGUGGAAAGCUCCGNGNGAGAG